UACGUAGGCGGCGUCAUAAGUCAGGGGUGAAAGCCCACAGCUCAACUGUGGAAUUGCCUUUGAUACUGUGGUGCUUGAAUCAGGUUGAGGUAGGCGGAAUGUGGCAUGUAGCGGUGAAAUGCUUAGAUAUGCCAUAGAACACCGAUUGCGAAGGCAGCUUACUGGACCUGCAUUGACGCUCAGGCACGAAAGCGUGGGGAGCGAACAGGAUUAGAUACCCUGGUAGUCC
RNAcentral lists this ribosomal RNA (229 nucleotides) under uncultured bacterium. RNAcentral describes it as "partial 16S ribosomal RNA". It matches the Rfam family "Bacterial small subunit ribosomal RNA", at positions 568 to 796 of the family's 1533-position model. The record is from RNAcentral.